This is a long non-coding RNA of Megalobrama amblycephala (Wuchang bream), 969 nucleotides long. RefSeq lists it as uncharacterized. The transcript is spliced from 3 exons. NCBI's taxonomy places the organism in Eukaryota, Metazoa, Chordata, Actinopteri, Cypriniformes, Xenocyprididae. The record is from RefSeq and is a predicted model, not a curated record.
UUUUGACCUUCAACCGUUCUUCAAAUUAUCAGGAAAAUUUUAUUUGAAAGUGGACUAAUCCUUUAAUGUUCACCAUUAGCAAGAAGUAUGUGAUUGUUUAAUAUGGAAGCUGUUCACCUGAAAUGAGGCCACACAGGUGUGAUAUGAAGUUCGCUCUGCCUGAGGCUGACUUUCUAUCUGUAGUUGAUACCUUGUCAUAUCAUUUGAACUGACAGCUGCAGGGUUUCGUUUUUGUUUUUUUGGCCUCCUUAACAUUAACCAGAACCUUCUGUGCCAUUUAAAUUAUCCACAACAGCCACUUUUGCAACAACCUUUACCAACAUUCAAGGAACAGGAUUUCCAGCUGUGAUUUAUACUAAUUGCUCUUGUGCUUUUCCUUUACAGAUGUGUUUGUGCAUUGGUUGACCCCGGAGACCUGACUGUGACUGUGAGACCACUUGACUGUGAACUUUGACGUGGUGGUCAUCUUCAUGGCCUUUUACUGAGCUGACACCUCCCCUGUCCAAUCCAUCUCUCUGUGCUGACGAACAAAGAGCGUGUUUUGGAUAGACAGUAUGGCGCCCAGUUGCUUCUGUGUACAUUACAGACGGACGUGAAGCUCUCAGCUGAGAGGGGAGACCUAUGCUGGAUCUGAAUUCUCAGAGCUGCUCUGCUGAAGAAUCCCAUUGUCUGGCUUCCCGUGAGUGGUGAGCGGUUCCCAGGACUUGCCUUGUCUAAAUAAGCCAUGACAGAGUGGACUCCCUCCUGCAAUAGCCUCUCUGACUCACUUAUCUCUGGCAGACGCACUCUCAACACAAACCAGUGCCGUCUUUCUGUCACACAGCCUAAUCUGUAAUGUCAUGGUUCACUGAAACACUCCCAGUCUCCCCGAAAACUUCCACUUACCUUUUUCAGCUCUCUGAUGAUCCAGUACAAUUUAUAAAAUACCAUUCAAGUGUUUUUUAAAUAAGUCUCUUAUGUUCACUAAGG